Molecule: ribosomal RNA, 263 nt
Filed under: uncultured bacterium
Lineage: Bacteria
Description: partial 16S ribosomal RNA
Rfam family: Bacterial small subunit ribosomal RNA
Source: RNAcentral
UACAACGAGUCGCAAGACCGCGAGGUAUAGCAAAUCUCUUAAAGCCAUUCUCAGUUCGGAUUGUAGGCUGAAACUCGCCUACAUGAAGCUGGAGUUACUAGUAAUGGCAGGUCAGCAUACUGCCGUGAAUACGUUCCCGGGCCUUGUACACACCGCCCGUCACACCAUGAGAGUUGGGAAUGCCCGAAGUCGGUGACCCAACCGUAAGGAGGGAGCCGCCGAAGGCAGGCCUGGUAACUGGGGUGAAGUCGUAACAAGGUAAC